This 69-nucleotide transfer RNA is filed under the name Stethojulis strigiventer (three-ribbon wrasse). RNAcentral's name for it is "tRNA-His". It matches the Rfam family "tRNA". From Rfam's summary of the family: Transfer RNA (tRNA) molecules are approximately 80 nucleotides in length. Their secondary structure includes four short double-helical elements and three loops (D, anti-codon, and T loops). The record is from RNAcentral. Lineage: Eukaryota; Metazoa; Chordata; Actinopteri; Labriformes; Labridae.
GUGAACAUAGUUUAAUCAAAAUCCUGAAUUGUGGCUUCAGAGACAGGGGUUAAAACCCCCUUGUUUACC